Molecule: ribosomal RNA, 484 nt
Filed under: Candidozyma auris
Lineage: Eukaryota; Fungi; Ascomycota; Pichiomycetes; Serinales; Metschnikowiaceae
Description: eukaryotic LSU rRNA
Rfam family: Eukaryotic large subunit ribosomal RNA
Source: RNAcentral
GAGCUCAACUUUGGAAUCGCUCCGGCGAGUUGUAGUCUGGAGGUGGCCACCACGAGGUGUUCUAGCAGCAGGCAAGUCCUUUGGAACAAGGCGCCAGCGAGGGUGACAGCCCCGUACCUGCUUUUGCUAGUGCUUCCUGUGGCCCACCGACGAGUCGAGUUGUUUGGGAAUGCAGCUCUAAGUGGGUGGUAAAUUCCAUCUAAGGCUAAAUAUUGGCGAGAGACCGAUAGCGAACAAGUACAGUGAUGGAAAGAUGAAAAGCACUUUGAAAAGAGAGUGAAACAGUACGUGAAAUUGUUGAAAGGGAAGGGCUUGCACCCAGACACGGUUUCGGCCGGGCCAGCAUCAAGUAGAACGGGGUUAAAAGACUUGGGGAAUGUAGCUACUUCGGUAGUGUUAUAGCCCUUGGUGAUGACCCCUGUUUUGCUUGAGGACAGCGGUCUCUAGGAUGCUGAAAGCAAUGGUUGCAAGCCACCCGUCUUGA